RNAcentral lists this ribosomal RNA (253 nucleotides) under uncultured bacterium. RNAcentral describes it as "partial 16S ribosomal RNA". It matches the Rfam family "Bacterial small subunit ribosomal RNA", at positions 524 to 776 of the family's 1533-position model. The record is from RNAcentral.
UACGAAGGGUGCAAGCGUUACUCGGAAUUACUGGGCGUAAAGGGUGCGUAGGUGGUUUGUUAAGUCUGCUGUGAAAUCCCCGGGCUCAACCUGGGAAUGGCAGUGGAUACUGGCAAGCUAGAGUGCGGUAGAGGGUAGUGGAAUUCCCGGUGUAGCAGUGAAAUGCGUAGAGAUCGGGAGGAACACCAGUGGCGAAGGCGGCUACCUGGACCAGCACUGACACUGAAGCACGAAAUCGUGGGGAGCAAACAGG